AACGGAGCGGGGGCUUAGGCCGGCUGCUGCGGGUCACUCGUCCGUGCGUGCCUUCAUUCCCUCCCUCGUUCUUUGAGCUGACUCAGGAAUUGAGAUGAGUUGUCUGGAUCCUAGAAUGAGUCUGGAGAUGGUGAAGAGAUUGACUAGCAAGGAGCAGCUUUCUUUGUGGAAUCUCAGGCCUUUCUUCUGACCCGUUUAGGGAUUAAGAGAACAAGGCAAAAUGCCAGUUGGUCCCAUCUCACUGAGGCAGACAGCACCCUCCAGUGGAAAUGAAGACGAGCGCUCCUCGUGGACCUCGCUGGCCCCAACCCUAUUGAACGCAUUGUUGCCAUUCCCCUGUGAGGUUGUAGUCAGAUGAGAGUCAGCCGAGUCCGCUGAAAUUCUGAGACCAAAUAACACAAGGAGUGCUAGUUCUUAUGAAGAGCUGACUUAUUAUCUAAAUUGUAAUCCUUUUACUAUGCUCCAAAGCAGUUUCCUGGUUGAGAAAAAAUAAUGGAGGAGAGAACGGGAGCUAUAAAAAAUGGGAAAUGUUUUGUUAUUGCUCUUUCAGCCCCACCCCCAGAACACUGAUUCAGCUUUGGCCAGUGGAAAGGAAUUCGUAAGUGGAUGUGGUGUAGACAUUUUUAACAAGAGAAAAUUAAUUUCUUCUGAACUGUAAAACGUUGGACAGUAGCUCAGGAAUAUGACUUUGUCCAGUCAGCUUAGGCGCUCAUGUGCUUAGGAUCAAGACAGAACAGGGGUGUGUGUGUCAGGGUUGGGGUGACAGCCAUAGCUCAGGUCAUCAUGUCCCAGGGCCUGGGAUGCUGCAGUGCACACACCAGUACCAUCUGCCCUCCCAGGAGGAAAAUUGGGAUCCUCUGACCAAUUGUAUUGUGAGUUUCAGAAUAUUCAAUUUCGCUUAGCUAUUUAAAAAUGUCAAGAUUUAAGAGACCCUAAAUGACGUGGAUAAAGUUAAAAUGCUUUAAAUGACGUAAGAUGUUGAAACUCAGGGGCUACCUUUCUCCCCCUCUAAAUAGGAAGGAUGGCAAGUUGGGGGGAAGUGACCCUGUGUUACUUUUUAGAAUCCUCUAGGUGGUGCUGCUGUGACAGCUAUGGGCUGGAAAUUGUUAGUACUUAACCAUCAAACCAAAUAUUUAACUUAUUAAGUGUCCUAUACUUAUGGUUAAUUGCUAGUAGGAUACUACUGAUAAUUUAUGCCAUCAUAUUUACAUUAUAUUCUCCUAACAUACAUUGCAUAACAGAGUAAUUUCAAGAGUUGGAAUACAUGUGCUUCUCUGGUUAUUACUGAAUAAAAUUAAAGCUUUCCUGUGUGUCUUAAUUCUUCCACGCAUUAAAACUGGUGACAGGAUUAGCUCUUCUUUACCUCUGCUUGUGUUGGCCAGUGUAGGACAGUUCCUUGUACAUAGUAGAUGCUAAGUUAAUGUUUAAGAAUUGACUUGUUUUUCUCUUUUUAUGACUUAUUGGAGAUGAGAUGACUAACUGGAUUAAGCUUUUAAAAACCCUAGUCAGACAUUGCUGCAUAUAUUUGCUAGUAAAAAGAUUAGGAGGCCAUUUUUCCUUUAUUUCUGAAAAUGGCCUAAGGUUUAUAUAUAUAUUAAAAAAAUCACUUAUUUUAAAAGCAAAUUGGUUUUCAGGUUGGUUCCAUUUGAAGUGCAGGAAAUGGUUGGAAAAACUGUGUUUGAUAAUCGCUCAAAUCUUAAUCAAGAUUUUAUUAAAAUCAAUAUUUGA
Molecule: long non-coding RNA, 1728 nt
Organism: Miniopterus natalensis
Lineage: Eukaryota; Metazoa; Chordata; Mammalia; Chiroptera; Miniopteridae
Source: RefSeq, a predicted model, not a curated record